ACUCUAAGGUGACUGCCGGCGUAAAAGUCGGAGGAAGGUGGGGAUGACGUCAAAUCAUCAUGCCCUUAUGACCUGGGCUACACACGUGCUACAAUGGGCGGUACAAAGGGUCGCGAACCCGCGAGGGGGAGCCAAUCCCAAAAAGCCGCUCUCAGUUCGGAUUGCAGGCUGCAACUCGCCUGCAUGAAGCCGGAAUCGCUAGUAAUCGCGGAUCAGCAUGCCGCGGUGAAUACGGUUCCCGGGCCUU
Molecule: ribosomal RNA, 247 nt
Filed under: uncultured Anoxybacillus sp.
Lineage: Bacteria; Bacillati; Bacillota; Bacilli; Caryophanales; Anoxybacillaceae
Description: partial 16S ribosomal RNA
Rfam family: Bacterial small subunit ribosomal RNA
Source: RNAcentral